GUUUUUCUCCAAAAUGGAUGUAAAAAAUGGAAUCAGCGAGCUGAAAUUAGGGAGGAAGGAUUUUGCAAAAUUGCUAAUGUAGCAGAGUGGCACUGACAUGGCAGUACAAUAGCUGGUGGUGUAGCGGUUGAAGUGGCUAAUGACAUGGCAGAAGCAGAAUCUAGUGCAUGCAGGCACAAAACAACAGUGUGAGCUUAAUUGGACUUUGAGCGGGUCAGACCUGACCUAGCAGGUUUGGACUUGUGAAUGGUUGGAUGAGCAAUCCAUCAACAGGAAUGUGUCAAUCGACGGCCUGCAAGACUAAAGCAAGGUGCAGGCAUCAGAUUCUGC
Molecule: unclassified non-coding RNA, 330 nt
Filed under: Hevea brasiliensis (rubber tree)
Lineage: Eukaryota; Viridiplantae; Streptophyta; Magnoliopsida; Malpighiales; Euphorbiaceae
Source: RNAcentral